Molecule: long non-coding RNA, 364 nt
Filed under: Zonotrichia albicollis (white-throated sparrow)
Lineage: Eukaryota; Metazoa; Chordata; Aves; Passeriformes; Passerellidae
Description: lncRNA (ENSZALG00000013310.1)
Source: RNAcentral
AUGAAAAUGCAAGUGACCGAGGAUGGAGGAGGAAGUUGUGCAUUCUGUUCCAUUUCCCAGGAGUCUGACAUUGUCCUGCAGGCCAGUGUUGAGCACUUCAGUCCCAGGAACAAGUGGCAUCUCCAGCACUGCAAACAUGUUCCAGGCUGUGGCCCUGCUCAGGAUGCAACUCCAGGCAAACACAGCAGAAAUAGAAAGGAAAAUGAGACCAAAAUGGAUCCAGUUCAGCAUUAUCCCUGUCAGAGGAAAGCUUUGCAGUGUCUCAACAGUUGGUCAAGCAGCCUGAGUACUUUCAUUAAAUUCAAAUUUAAGAAACAGAUAUUUGUGGAAGCCAGACUAGUUCUUUCAUCUAUUUGGGUAAUAA